GUCUACGGCCAAACCACCCUGAAUGCGCCCGAUCUCGUCUGAUCUCGGAAGCUAAGCAGGGUCGGGCCUGGUUAGUACUUAGUACUUGGAUGGGAGAUAUGAGAAGGGGAGCAAUGGAAG
RNAcentral lists this ribosomal RNA (120 nucleotides) under Myotis brandtii (Brandt's bat). The record is from RNAcentral. Lineage: Eukaryota; Metazoa; Chordata; Mammalia; Chiroptera; Vespertilionidae.